This 1251-nucleotide long non-coding RNA is filed under the name Gallus gallus (chicken). RNAcentral describes it as "lncRNA (ENSGALG00010008791.1)". The record is from RNAcentral. Lineage: Eukaryota; Metazoa; Chordata; Aves; Galliformes; Phasianidae.
AUCACGAAAGUUACCCCUUGAUAUAAUAUUGAUUCUUUAUAACUAGCUCCAAACACAAAAAUCAAACUGUCCACUUGACCAUCAUCAUCAUCAAUAUCAUCACAAAGGCUCCGGAAUAAAGAUCAGCACAGGACUGAAAACGCUUUCUAUAAUCUGCCCACCUAAUCUUUAUUUGCUGAUGAUGAAAGGAGAAGGGGUGUGCGCGUGUGUGUGUGUGUGUGUGUGUGUGUGUGUCUGUGUGCGAGCGCUGUCCGGGCGGGGGAUGGGGGGGGGAUGGGGGGGGGGGGGGGGAGGGCAUCGGAGCAGGGAAUGUCAUCUGAGCAAACAAAAAACAACACAGGAGGUUAAGAAAAAAGAAGCCCGCUCAGCCUCCUUGCCAAGAAACCCAAUGAUGAUCGCAGAAGUUAACGAUCGCGCCCCGAAGCUCUGCUUUCCUGGAGGAGGGGAACCCCGCGCUCGGCAGGCCCGGCUUUGGGUUUAUGCUUCUUCCCCCCCCCCCCCCCCCCCCCCCCCGAGCGGAGCGGUCCUCAGUGAAGGCAGAGAGUUAAGUAAGAAAGCAAACCGCGGCAGAGUGCUCUCAGGCAGCGUUACUCCUCGCUUAGCAUCAGCACUAACGAGUCGUCCUCUCCCCUCGCCCGUCCGCAAAGCGAUCCAUCAUUUAUUUCCAGAUCACCUGGUGAUCUGUAACACAGAAAGAAAAAAAAAAAAAAGAGAGAGAGAGAUUAAGGAAGGAGCCGCCGACACCGCUCCAUGCGCAAUACCUAUCGGCUGAUGUAGAAAAGAAAGCAUAAUCCACAUGUAUAUUGCCUUUAACGAAAGGUAUUUCCUUCGCCUUCCCUCCCUACAGUACCGGCAUGCUUUUGCUGAGGGCUGCGUUUGCACAGUCGCCAGUAAUUACACGCGUGUGUCCGCCGGGAGAACGAAGGUUGGGAAGGUGGGAGGUAGGACGUGAUUCCUCUUUGGAGCAAUCAGGACUGGGAAAGGUUUCAUUCCGUGCAGACGUUGCCUUUGCUAGAUGGUGUCUCCCUUCGUGAGGAAUGGUGCUAAAAGUGGAUGGAAUCUGUUAAAGACACUGCUCUGCAUGUGGAAUUAUGGCAGAACUGACACUGACUAGAUCCUCCACAUUGGAGUUCAGUGAACCAAAGUGAGCUGCACUAUUUCCGUGCUUGACCUGCAGUGAGGAAUAUCACAUACAUACUUCUUGAUAAUCUCCAGUGAAACUGGAAAAAAAACAAACAAACAAAAAAAGUG